Molecule: ribosomal RNA, 371 nt
Filed under: uncultured organism
Description: partial 16S ribosomal RNA
Rfam family: Bacterial small subunit ribosomal RNA
Source: RNAcentral
GGAGGAUGCGAGCGUUAUCCGGGAUUUAUUGGGGUUUAAAGGGUGCGUAGGUUGUUCGGUAAGUCAGCGGUGAAACCUGAGCGCUCAACGUUCAGCCUGCCGUUGAAACUGCCGGGCUUGAGUUCAGUGGCGGCAGGCGGAAUUCGUGGUGUAGCGGUGAAAUGCAUAGAUAUCACGAGGAACUCCGAUUGCGAAGGCAGCUUGCCAUACUGCGACUGACACUGAAGCACGAAGGCGUGGGUAUCAAACAGGAUUAGAUACCCUGGUAGUCCACGCAGUAAACGAUGAUUACUAGGAGUUUGCGAUAUACCGUCAAGCUUCCACAGCGAAAGCGUUAAGUAAUCCACCUGGGGAGUACGCCGGCAACGGUG